Molecule: long non-coding RNA, 320 nt
Filed under: Panax ginseng (ginseng)
Lineage: Eukaryota; Viridiplantae; Streptophyta; Magnoliopsida; Apiales; Araliaceae
Description: long non-coding RNA (PGIN_LNC011975)
Source: RNAcentral
GGAUGAGAAGAGGAAUUUAGAACCACAAUUAUGAUUAUGAGUUAUUCACAUGAUUGUGGACAGGAACUGUUGAUUGAUGUUAUAGGGCUAAAACAUUAUUGGUGGACUUUUAACAUGGAGAAGAUAAUAGACUUUAUGGUUUAUUUUACUCUUCUAAUGGAUUACUCAUUCCGCUGCAACUAUGGUUGAAAAUUUUUAUCAUCUACUAUAUGUUCUAAAUCUUUGAUUUAUUACUGUUGAAGGCUAUUGAUAAUUUAUUUAUCUUUAGUCAUGAUUCUCUUUACUGGGCUAGUUGAGCUCACCCUUUUGCUUCACAAUUC